GUCGAACGCUGACAUUUAGGUAGCAAUAUUUGAAUGUUGGAGUGGCGCAAGGGUGUGUAACACGUGGGCAAUCUGCCGUAAAGCCUGGGAUAACUCGCUGAAAGGCGAGCUAAUACCGGAUGUGAAUGUAAAUUCAAAGUUGGGGAUCGCAAGACCUGACACUUUACGAUGAGCCCGCGGCCUAUCAGCUAGUUGGUGAGGUAACGGCUCACCAAGGCUAAGACGGGUAGCUGGUCUGAGAGGACGACCAGCCACACUGGAACUGAGACACGGUCCAGACACCUACGGGUGGCAGCAGUCGAGAAUUUUUCUCAAUGGGGGAAACCCUGAAGGAGCGACGCCGCGUGGGGGAUGAAUGGCUUCGGCCCGUAAACCCCUGUCAUUUGUGAACAAAUUGAUUCACCUAACACGUGUAUCAUUGAUUGUAGCGAAAGAGGAAGGGACGGCUAACUCUGUGCCAGCAGCCGCGGUAAUACAGAGGUCCCAAGCGUUGUUCGGAUUCACUGGGCGUAAAGGGUGCGUAGGCGGCCGGGUAAGUCUGACGUGAAAUCUCUGGGCCUAACCCAGAAACUGCGUUGGAUACUAUUCGGCUAGAGGAAUGGAGGGGAGACUGGAAUACUUGGUGUAGCAGUGAAAUGCGUAGAUAUCAAGUGGAACACCAGUGGCGAAGGCGAGUCUCUGGACAUUUCCUGACGCUGAGGCACGAAAGCCAGGGGAGCAAACGGGAUUAGAUACCCCGGUAGU
Molecule: ribosomal RNA, 744 nt
Filed under: uncultured bacterium
Lineage: Bacteria
Description: bacterial SSU rRNA
Rfam family: Bacterial small subunit ribosomal RNA
Source: RNAcentral